UACGUAGGGUGCGAGCGUUAAUCGGAAUUACUGGGCGUAAAGCGUGCGCAGGCGGUUCGUUAAGUUCGUUGUGAAAGCCCCGGGCUCAACCUGGGCACUGCAGUUGGAACUGGCAAGCUAGAGUAGGGUAGAGGGGUGUGGAAUUCCAGGUGUAGCGGUGAAAUGCGUAGAUAUCUGGAGGAACAUCAGUGGCGAAGGCGACACCCUGGACUCAUACUGACACUGAGGUGCGAAAGCGUGGGGAGCAAACAGG
Molecule: ribosomal RNA, 253 nt
Filed under: uncultured bacterium
Lineage: Bacteria
Description: partial 16S ribosomal RNA
Rfam family: Bacterial small subunit ribosomal RNA
Source: RNAcentral